RNAcentral lists this unclassified non-coding RNA (465 nucleotides) under Hevea brasiliensis (rubber tree). The record is from RNAcentral. Lineage: Eukaryota; Viridiplantae; Streptophyta; Magnoliopsida; Malpighiales; Euphorbiaceae.
AGGUUGGUGUCCUUCUAUCUAGGUGUAAUGGAUCCACAGUUGAAACUUAUUAAUGUUUUCUGAGUUUGAUGGUUAACUGCUGAUAGUUGCUUUACUUGAUUUUAAUUUAAUUCAUCUGUAGCCGUAAAAAUUCGGUUCUUUGCCUCAAGUUAAUGGUUAAAGCACCGGAUUCAGGGCUUUGCCUCUGGCUCGCUCAACUAAUUGCUCAUUUUUUAAUAUUUGGUGUUGAGCAGUGGUGGGCUUUUUAAAUUUUUUUUAGAAAAAACAAGAAAUAAUAUAUAUUCAUAUAUGGUAUCUAGGCUAGUCUUCUUUUUUCCAGCCUAGUCAGUGGGAAUGACUGCAUUAGAGAGCUUGCAUGACUUCAUAUGGUGGAACCAAAUUGCUUCAUUUAUGGUAUUGUGGUUCAUUUGUUUAGUCUGACAUUUCUCUACUAGGAAUAAUUAUCUGGCACCACUAUCAGGAUUG